UACAGAGGGCGCGAGCGUUACUCGGAAUUACUGGGCGUAAAGCGGGCGUAGACGGUCAUGUAAGUCGGGUGUGAAAUCCCCGGGCUCAACCUGGGAAUUGCAUUCGAGACUGCGUGGCUAGGGUGCGGAAGAGGGAAGCGGAAUUUCCGGUGUAGCGGUGAAAUGCGUAGAUAUCGGAAGGAACAUCAGUGGCGAAAGCGGCUUCCUGGUCCAGCACCGACGUUCAGGCACGAAAGCGUGGGGAGCAAACAGG
RNAcentral lists this ribosomal RNA (253 nucleotides) under uncultured bacterium. RNAcentral describes it as "partial 16S ribosomal RNA". It matches the Rfam family "Bacterial small subunit ribosomal RNA", at positions 524 to 776 of the family's 1533-position model. The record is from RNAcentral.